RNAcentral lists this ribosomal RNA (277 nucleotides) under uncultured bacterium. RNAcentral's name for it is "partial 16S ribosomal RNA". It matches the Rfam family "Bacterial small subunit ribosomal RNA", at positions 234 to 507 of the family's 1533-position model. The record is from RNAcentral.
CAGUAGUUAGUAGUUGGUGGGUAAAGGCUCACCAAGCCAACGAUCUGUAGCUGGUCUGAGAGGACGACCAGCCACACUGGAACUGAGACACGGUCCAGACUCCUACGGGAGGCAGCAGUGGGAAUUUUUGGACAAUGGGCGCAAGCCUGAUCCAGCCAUUCCGCGUGCAGGAUGAAGGCUUCGGGUUGUAAACUGCUUUUGUACGGAACGAAACGGCGAGCUCUAAUACAGUUUGCUAAUGACGGUACCGUAAGAAUAAGCACCGGCUAACUACGUG